UACGUAGGGGGCAAGCGUUGUCCGGAUUCAUUGGGCGUAAAGAGCGUGUAGGCGGCCAGGUAGGUCGGUUGUGAAAACUGGAGGCUCAACCUUCAGAGGUCGACCGAAACCAUCUGGCUAGAGUCCGGGAGAGGAGAGUGGAAUUCCUGGUGUAGCGGUGAAAUGCGCAGAUAUCAGGAAGAACACCCGUGGCGAAAGCGGCUCUCUGGACUGCAACUGACACUGAGAAACGAAAGCCAGGGUAGCAAACGGG
RNAcentral lists this ribosomal RNA (253 nucleotides) under uncultured bacterium. Its description in RNAcentral is "partial 16S ribosomal RNA". It matches the Rfam family "Bacterial small subunit ribosomal RNA", at positions 524 to 776 of the family's 1533-position model. The record is from RNAcentral.